Molecule: long non-coding RNA, 1059 nt
Filed under: Manihot esculenta (cassava)
Lineage: Eukaryota; Viridiplantae; Streptophyta; Magnoliopsida; Malpighiales; Euphorbiaceae
Description: long non-coding RNA (MESC_LNC010129)
Source: RNAcentral
UAGAAACAUAUAUAUUAAUUUUUACAUAAUUCAAUAAUGAAAAAUAAUUUACUUUUAAAGUUUUUUUACCAUAAUUUGCAUUUUCACAAGAUUCAUUAGGCUAUAUAUAGAUGAUAUAGAGACUAUUCAAAAGGAUUAAUCAGACUAAAUCAAACUUGAUAAAGGAAACAAAAUCAAAGAAAAAAUUAAUCAAAUCAAACCAAAUCAAAUCAAAUAAAAUCAAACCAAAUGAAAGAACCCAGAAUCAAAAUGCAAAUAGACACCACCGAAACUGUCUAGUCACCGCUCAACCACCCACCGCCAACAAGCGAUUGCAUCCCCUCCAUCACAGAAUCGAGGACCACACAAGCCAAUGAUGGAAUCCAUAGAGAAGACAGCCAAUAUAGAAGAAAGUAAUAAACAACAACAUGCAAACACAAUCGACCAGAAGAAUAGCAUCCGUGCUUCGAUCCACACCGAUAGGGAGAGACGCAACAAAGCGUAGCCAUUGUCUAACAGUCAACAGGAGCCGUAUCAUCGAACGUAAUGGUGUAGUCCUAUGUUACCAACAUCAAGUCUCAAUAGAUCUCUUCAAAAGCCGGAUCAAAACACUCUCAGACUAGAUUCAUAAAACUUUCCUCGCUGGACCUAAAAAACAAAAUCAGAAAAAUAACAACUUCUACCUCUACCUACGGUGAGGAAAGAUCGAGGGUAGAGAUCCACCAGAAAUAAAGCAAACAAAGGAGAAGUAAACUUUUCCUUGCUCGAAGGCAGGGAAAGGAUACCAAUGAAUCAAACAAAAUACGAAAAAACUACCGAUAAAAAUUCAGAUAAAACGACAACAUCAAAAGCACAAUUGAAUCUCCUUUUGAAUAGUUACCCUAAAUAGGGAAAGAAUACCAAUGAAUGAAACAAAAUACGAAAAAUCUAUCGAUAAAAAUUCAGAUAAAACGACAACAUUAAAAGCACAACCGAAUCUCCUUUCGAAUAGCUACCCUCAUACUCCGCGCACACUCUGAUGAUGCUGACGAUCGACAAAACCUUUCUCUUCCCCUUCCUCUCAUUUUCACUCACUUCUUC